This 465-nucleotide ribosomal RNA is filed under the name Vreelandella stevensii. RNAcentral describes it as "partial 16S ribosomal RNA". It matches the Rfam family "Bacterial small subunit ribosomal RNA", at positions 338 to 795 of the family's 1533-position model. Lineage: Bacteria; Pseudomonadati; Pseudomonadota; Gammaproteobacteria; Oceanospirillales; Halomonadaceae. The record is from RNAcentral.
CCUACGGGUGGCAGUAGUGGGGAAUAUUGGACAAUGGGGGGAACCCUGAUCCAGCCAUGCCGCGUGUGUGAAGAAGGCCCUCGGGUUGUAAAGCACUUUCAGUGAGGAAGAACGCCUGGUGGUUAAUACCCAUCAGGAAAGACAUCACUCACAGAAGAAGCACCGGCUAACUCCGUGCCAGCAGCCGCGGUAAUACGGAGGGUGCGAGCGUUAAUCGGAAUUACUGGGCGUAAAGCGCGCGUAGGUGGCUUGAUAAGCCGGUUGUGAAAGCCCCGGGCUCAACCUGGGAACGGCAUCCGGAACUGUCAAGCUAGAGUGCAGGAGAGGAAGGUAGAAUUCCCGGUGUAGCGGUGAAAUGCGUAGAGAUCGGGAGGAAUACCAGUGGCGAAGGCGGCCUUCUGGACUGACACUGACACUGAGGUGCGAAAGCGUGGGUAGCAAACAGGAUUAGAUACCCGUGUAGUC